AUCUGGAACGAGGAGGUUGCCGGCUGCGAUUCGAGAAAAGGCAGCACCAGGGAGAGGCCACCACGCCGCCUGGAUCUGGAGGCAAGCUCCACGACGACGGGCGCCUGCCUUUCUUCUGCCCAUGGUCUCCACCGGCUUCCCUUCCACCGCCACCGAUCUGCUCCGCGUUGGCGAGCUAUACGGAGGAACCAACGUCCUUCGUCCUCGUCGGCGGCCGCCGUUCCGCCUUCGUCCGCUGGCGGCCUCCAGAUCGCCACCAUCGCCCACGCCUGCUGCCCUCGUCCGCCGCCCGUGGAGGACGCUGAGGAGAGUGAGAAUCCGGAUGCAGCAUCAAUGCAGAUGACGAUUAUACUGACAACGAUGUACAUUGAGACCUUUAUUGUUCAGUCUAUUGGCACAAAUCCCUGUUCUUGGUGCAGAUCUUUACUGACUGCCAAAUUGAACUUUUCUCUUGACCUCAAUGAUAUCCGGGUGAUCUCUGAAGAUAUAGGAUCCUUGGUUCAUUUGACAUGGACGCUCGAAAUGUUUCAUGUCGUACACUUUGCACACUUUUUCUGGAUUUAUCUUGGCGAACUGAUAAUGUGUCAAUUAGAAUUUUGGUUCUUAAUUUAA
Molecule: long non-coding RNA, 612 nt
Filed under: Oryza sativa Indica Group (long-grained rice)
Lineage: Eukaryota; Viridiplantae; Streptophyta; Magnoliopsida; Poales; Poaceae
Description: lncRNA OsMH63_12G010570
Source: RNAcentral